UGAGAUGUUGGGUUAAGUCCCGCAACGAGCGCAACCCUUGUUCUUAGUUGCCAGCAUUCAGUUGGGCACUCUAAGGAGACUGCCGGUGACAAACCGGAGGAAGGUGGGGAUGACGUCAAAUCAUCAUGCCCCUUAUGACCUGGGCUACACACGUGCUACAAUGGAUGGUACAAAGAGUCGCAAACCCGCGAGGGCUAGCUAAUCUCAUAAAGCCAUUCUCAGUUCGGAUUGUAGGCUGCAACUCGCCUACAUGAAGCCGGAAUCGCUAGUAAUCGCGGAUCAGCAUGCCGCGGUGAAUACGUUCCCGGGCCUUGUACACACCGCCCGUCACACCACGAGAGUUUGUAACACCCGAAGUCGGUGAGGUAACCGUAAGGAGCCAGCCGCCUAAGGUGGGAUAGAUGAUUGGGGUGAAGUCGUAACAAGGUAA
This 430-nucleotide ribosomal RNA is filed under the name uncultured low G+C Gram-positive bacterium. RNAcentral's name for it is "bacterial SSU rRNA". It matches the Rfam family "Bacterial small subunit ribosomal RNA", at positions 1068 to 1499 of the family's 1533-position model. Lineage: Bacteria; Bacillati; Bacillota. The record is from RNAcentral.